AAUAUAAUUCAAGCUAUAAUUUUUAUAUUAUUCAACACACACCGGUGCCAAUUCCAUACAAACCAAAAUCAGCAAUAUAAGUUGCAUAUGCACAUAAAAAACAUACAUCCUCAAUAGAUAAUCAUGCAAUAGCAUCAUCAUAUCCUAUGCAAAGCCAAAGUUAGGAUGCAACAAAAUAGUAUAUAUAUAGAUGAUCAAUACCC
RNAcentral lists this long non-coding RNA (203 nucleotides) under Elaeis guineensis (African oil palm). RNAcentral's name for it is "long non-coding RNA (EGUI_LNC001665)". Lineage: Eukaryota; Viridiplantae; Streptophyta; Magnoliopsida; Arecales; Arecaceae. The record is from RNAcentral.